RNAcentral lists this ribosomal RNA (368 nucleotides) under uncultured bacterium. RNAcentral describes it as "bacterial SSU rRNA". It matches the Rfam family "Bacterial small subunit ribosomal RNA", at positions 29 to 414 of the family's 1533-position model. The record is from RNAcentral.
AACGAACGCUGGCGGCAUGCCUAACACAUGCAAGUCGAACGAGACCUUCGGGUCUAGUGGCGCACGGGUGCGUAACGCGUGGGAAUCUGCCCUUGGGUUCGGAAUAACAGCGAGAAAUUGCUGCUAAUACCGGAUGAUGACGUAAGUCCAAAGAUUUAUCGCCCAAGGAUGAGCCCGCGUAGGAUUAGCUAGUUGGUGGGUGAGGUAAAGGCUCACCAAGGCGACGAUCCUUAGCUGGUCUGAGAGGAUGAUCAGCCACACUGGGACUGAGACACGGCCCAGACUCCUACGGGAGGCAGCAGUGGGGAAGUAUUGGACAAUAGGGCGGAAAGACCUGAUACCAGCAAUAGCCGCGUGAGUGAUGAAGG